Molecule: ribosomal RNA, 345 nt
Filed under: uncultured soil bacterium
Lineage: Bacteria
Description: bacterial SSU rRNA
Rfam family: Bacterial small subunit ribosomal RNA
Source: RNAcentral
GGGACGAACGCUGGCGGCGUGCUUAACACAUGCAAGUCGAGCGGUAAGGCCUUUCGGGGUACACGAGCGGCGAACGGGUGAGUAACACGUGGGUGAUCUGCCCUGCACUCUGGGAUAAGCCUGGGAAACUGGGUCUAAUACCGGAUAUGACCUGCUCUCGCAUGGGGGUGGGUGGAAGGAUUUAUCGCCCAGGGAUGAGCCCGCGUAGGAUUAGCUAGUUGGUGAGGUAAAGGCUCACCAAGGCGACGAUCCUUAGCUGGUCUGAGAGGAUGAUCAGCCACACUGGGACUGAGACACGGCCCAGACUCCUACGGGAGCAGCAGUAGGGAAUAUUGGACAAGUGGG